UCAUUACGUGACAACAGGAUGCGUUUUCAACUCAGACAUUGUGAAGAAACCGUUUAAAUUCAAAGUUUGUACUGUCACCUACCUCUUUUUCUAACGCAUUGUGCUUCAGAG
Sander lucioperca (pikeperch) is the source of this 111-nucleotide long non-coding RNA. RefSeq lists it as uncharacterized. The record is from RefSeq and is a predicted model, not a curated record. NCBI's taxonomy places the organism in Eukaryota, Metazoa, Chordata, Actinopteri, Perciformes, Percidae. The transcript has 3 exons.